RNAcentral lists this ribosomal RNA (497 nucleotides) under uncultured bacterium. Its description in RNAcentral is "partial 16S ribosomal RNA". It matches the Rfam family "Bacterial small subunit ribosomal RNA", at positions 28 to 507 of the family's 1533-position model. The record is from RNAcentral.
GAUGAACGCUGGCGGCAUGCCUAAUACAUGCAAGUCGAACGACCAGAUGAUGAGCUUUUUCCUCUACCGUUAGCGACUGGCGGGUGAGUAACACGUGGAUCACCUACCUCUUAUACUUGGAUAACUUCGUGAGACCGGUGCUGCUACCACCUCAUAUAUUGAACCGCAUGAUUCAAUAGUUCGACACGCUUUUGCUGUCUCUUUUAGCUGAAUCCGCGUCGGAUUAGCUAGUUGGUAAGGUAACGGCUUACCAAGGCGACGAUGCGUAGCCGACCUGAGAGGAUGAUCAGCCACACUGGAACUGAGACACGGUCCAGACUCCUACGGGAGGCAGCAGUGGGGAAUAUUGGACAAUGGGCGAAAGCCUGACGGAGCAACGCCGCGUGAGUGAAGAAGGCCUUCGGGUCGUAAAGCCCUUUUAUUGGGAAAGAAAAGAAGUAGGAUAAUACAUGGCCGUUUUGACGGUACCUAAAGAAUAAGCAACGGCUAACUUCGUG